RNAcentral lists this ribosomal RNA (237 nucleotides) under uncultured bacterium. RNAcentral describes it as "partial 16S ribosomal RNA". It matches the Rfam family "Bacterial small subunit ribosomal RNA", at positions 524 to 760 of the family's 1533-position model. The record is from RNAcentral.
UACGAAGGGGGCUAGCGUUGUUCGGAUUUACUGGGCGUAAAGCGCACGUAGGCGGUUUGUUAAGUCAGGGGUGAAAUCCCAGAGCUCAACUCUGGAACUGCCUCUGAUACUGGCAAGCUAGAGUCCGGAAGAGGUAAGUGGAACUCCUAGUGUAGAGGUGGAAUUCGUAGAUAUUAGGAAGAACACCAGUGGCGAAGGCGGCUUACUGGUCCGGAACUGACGCUGAGGUGCGAAAGC